Molecule: ribosomal RNA, 352 nt
Filed under: Eukaryota sp.
Lineage: Eukaryota
Description: SSU rRNA
Rfam family: Eukaryotic small subunit ribosomal RNA
Source: RNAcentral
UUCGUUAACGAACGAGACCUUAACCUGCUAAAUAGCCAGGUCGGCUUCUGCUGAUCGCCGGCUUCUUAGAGGGACUGUCAGCGUCUAGCUGACGGAAGUUUGAGGCAAUAACAGGUCUGUGAUGCCCUUAGAUGUUCUGGGCCGCACGCGCGCUACACUGAUACGUUCAUCGAGCUUACAACCUUGACUGAGAGGUCUGGGUAAUCUUUAAAUCGUAUCGUGCUGGGGAUAGAUUAUUGUAAUUUUUAAUCUUCAACGAGGAAUUCCUAGUAAACGCGAGUCAUCAGCUCGCAUUGAUUACGUCCCUGCCCUUUGUACACACCGCCCGUCGCUAGUACCGAUUGAAUGGAUG